CACAUGCAAGUCGAACGAUGAUCUCCAGCUUGCUGGGGGGAUUAGUGGCGAACGGGUGAGUAACACGUGAGUAACCUGCCCUUAACUCUGGGAUAAGCCUGGGAAACUGGGUCUAAUACCGGAUAUGACUCCUCAUCGCAUGGUGGGGGGUGGAAAGCUUUUUGUGGUUUUGGAUGGACUCGCGGCCUAUCAGCUUGUUGGUGAGGUAAUGGCUUACCAAGGCGACGACGGGUAGCCGGCCUGAGAGGGUGACCGGCCACACUGGGACUGAGACACGGCCCAGACUCCUACGGGAGGCAGCAGUGGGGAAUAUUGCACAAUGGGCGCAAGCCUGAUGCAGCGACGCCGCGUGAGGGAUGACGGCCUUCGGGUUGUAAACCUCUUUCAGUAGGGAAGAAGCGAAAGUGACGGUACCUGCAGAAGAAGCGCCGGCUAACUACGUGCCAGCAGCCGCGGUAAUACGUAGGGCGCAAGCGUUAUCCGGAAUUAUUGGGCGUAAAGAGCUCGUAGGCGGUUUGUCGCGUCUGCCGUGAAAGUCCGGGGCUCAACUCCGGAUCUGCGGUGGGUACGGGCAGACUAGAGUGAUGUAGGGGAGACUGGAAUUCCUGGUGUAGCGGUGAAAUGCGCAGAUAUCAGGAGGAACACCGAUGGCGAAGGCAGGUCUCUGGGCAUUAACUGACGCUGAGGAGCGAAAGCAUGGGGAGCGAACAG
RNAcentral lists this ribosomal RNA (711 nucleotides) under uncultured Actinomycetes bacterium. Its description in RNAcentral is "bacterial SSU rRNA". It matches the Rfam family "Bacterial small subunit ribosomal RNA", at positions 52 to 775 of the family's 1533-position model. The record is from RNAcentral. Lineage: Bacteria; Bacillati; Actinomycetota; Actinomycetes.